Molecule: long non-coding RNA, 1889 nt
Filed under: Homo sapiens (human)
Lineage: Eukaryota; Metazoa; Chordata; Mammalia; Primates; Hominidae
Description: HSALNT0378626
Source: RNAcentral
CUUCUAGCUGCUGGCCUGUGCUCUGAACUGUUCCCUUCUCCUUGCAUCCCUCUCCUCCUUGGUCAGAAUCCUGAUCCUCUGUGGACAGUUUAAUCUAAUAAACGAAUUCAGGCUGAGAUCUAAAUGAUCAUCAUGAUGGUGAUGGAGGAAGCAGUGAUAAUGAUGAUGAUGAUGUCAUAAAACUAAAAUUAUUGAGCACUAAGUACUGGUCAAGAUGCUUUAGAUACAUCAGUUCAUCGAAUCCUCUCAACAACCUUGUUUUACAGUGGCCCAACAAUACAGUGCCUAUUAUCAUCCUUGCUUCAUGAAGAAGAACACGAGGUUUAGGAGGGUUCACCCUCUCAGUCAAAGUCCCUGAAGUGCAGAACUUGGCCAACCCCACAGUGGACUGGCUUCUGCUAGGCAGUUGGGAGCCACUGCCAUCUCCAAACAGCAGGAAGAGAUGCUCAAAGCUGUGCUUUUGAAAAAUCAAUCUGGCAGUAGUGGAGAAGAUACACUGUCUUUUCUCAGCUCAGCAUACCAGUUGGAAGGCCUAACCACAGAGCCAGCAGGCGGCAGAGCUGGGGGUUAGAUCCCACAUCUACCUGAUUCCAGCACCCUUGCUCGAAUCCCCCAAACCUAGCUGCUUGAGGCCAGAUGAAGGCUUCCGGCUUCACAAGUGCCCUUCCCUCACUGCGGGUGCAUUGGCACCUCACUUCCUUGCCACACUUCCUCUUGUUUUGAACCACUAUAUUGGCUCAUCUCAGCAGCAGACAGUUCCUCUGAAUAGAGUAUGCCCUGAAAAGUCAAAAUCUACCACCAGCUGGAGCUGGUAAGGCUGCAGUACUUCCUGUUGAAUCGGGUCUUGGGGCCAGAAACCACAUUGUUAUUUAUACCCGAAGCUCUUUAUUCACGGUGCUUUACAAAACAAAGAAGGGGCAGCCCCCUGUCUUAUGGAGCCAGCAGACCCCAGAGAUACAGAAGACAACAGACAAUAAUAAGCCCUCUCCCCUCUCCUUAAGCUGUAACUUCCAUCCUGCCUGACCAGUCCCUGCCACUGCCCCUUUGUUUCUUCUAUUACCUUCCUCUGAGCAGUCUUAUUAUGGAAAUAGACUCCUAAUUAACACAUCAGGUUUCCGCUUUUCCAAAAAGUCUCUGAAAUUGGCCCGUUUCAUGAUGUUGUUCACUCCAAACACCCCCUGCUAUCUUUAUUUUGUUCUGCUUUUCAUCCUGGCUUAUAUCAUUUAUUUCUUUGUAUUGAAAGCUUGUCAACUCAUGGGACCUGGCAUGUAUUAAUUAGGAGGAUGGUCUGGAGCCCGACACAGCUUGAUGGAAAGCCAGUCUGAGGGGGGAAUUAGGCAGAGAAUCAGAAAGAAGCUGAACCAAGCAGCAGAGGGGUAGAUGGCUUAAGACCAUGACCCAAAUUUCAGACCCAGGGUGACCGACUGUCAGCCUUCUGGGCUGGGAUUCUUCCCUUAAGCUAAGACAGUCUUCACUUUGUGCCAUAAAAGUGCACGUCAGGUCUCACCUCUGUGCCGUUUGCUCAAUGUGUACCCCCCUGCCGGGAUGCCCUUCUUUCUCUUUUCUACCUACUAAGCUCUGCUGCUUUUCAAGGCCAAAAUGAAGUCCCAUCUCCCAUAAAAAGCCUUCCGCGGCUCCUCCAGUCCUGAGCAACCUCCAUUUUCAUGACACUCUUGCAGGAUUUGUAGCACAUAAUUUAGGCCUUGCUUAUGUAGUCUUCUUAAUGAGAACUGUCUUAGUCUCUCCAGCCACGUCAGAGAGAAACAGAGUUCAGGAAGACAUAGGUUGAAUAAGAAAGAAGCUUGUUUGCCCCUCUGGGGACAGCAGGAGGAGAGGGACAAGCUCAGCAGGCCCGUGCGAUUGCACAGAAGCUGGCCUCCAGCGUUGCC